GUGGGGAAUUUUGGACAAUGGGCGCAAGCCUGAUCCAGCAAUGCCGCGUGCAGGAAGAAGGCCUUCGGGUUGUAAACUGCUUAUGUACGGAACGAAACGGUCCGGGUUAAUACCCUGGGCUAAUGACGGUACCGUAAGAAUAAGCACCGGCUAACUACGUGCCAGCAGCCGCGGUAAUACGUAGGGUGCAAGCGUUAAUCGGAAUUACUGGGCGUAAAGCGUGCGCAGGCGGUGUUGUAAGACAGGCGUGAAAUCCCCGGGAUCAACCUGGGAAUUGUGCUUGUGACUGGAAGGCUGGAGUGCGGCAGAGGGGGAUGGAAUUCCGCGUGUAGCAGUGAAAUGCGUAGAUAUGCGGAGGAACACCGAUGGCGAAGGCAAUCCCCUGGGCCUGCACUGACGCUCAUGCACGAAAGCGUGGGGAGCAAACAGGAUUAGAUACCCGAGUAGUCC
This 450-nucleotide ribosomal RNA is filed under the name uncultured bacterium. Its description in RNAcentral is "partial 16S ribosomal RNA". It matches the Rfam family "Bacterial small subunit ribosomal RNA", at positions 354 to 796 of the family's 1533-position model. The record is from RNAcentral.